This 69-nucleotide transfer RNA is filed under the name Muntiacus reevesi (Reeves' muntjac). It matches the Rfam family "tRNA". Rfam says of the family: Transfer RNA (tRNA) molecules are approximately 80 nucleotides in length. Lineage: Eukaryota; Metazoa; Chordata; Mammalia; Artiodactyla; Cervidae. RNAcentral also lists the same sequence under 6 other names. The record is from Rfam by way of RNAcentral.
CCUGGUGGCUCAGAGGUUAAAGCGUCUGCCUGCAAUGCGGGAGACCUGGGUUCGAUCCCUAGGUCAGGA